GAUGAACGCUGGCGGCGUGCCUAAUACAUGCAAGUCGAGCGAACGGACGAGAAGCUUGCUUUUCUGAUGUUAGCGGCGGACGGGUGAGUAACACGUGGAUAACCUACCUAUAAGACUGGGAUAACUUCGGGAAACCGGAGCUAAUACCGGAUAAUAUUUUGAACCGCAUGGUUCAAAAGUGAAAGACGGUCUUGCUGUCACUUAUAGAUGGAUCCGCGCUGCAUUAGCUAGUUGGUAAGGUAACGGCUUACCAAGGCAACGAUGCAUAGCCGACCUGAGAGGGUGAUCGGCCACACUGGAACUGAGACACGGUCCAGACUCCUACGGGAGGCAGCAGUAGGGAAUCUUCCACAAUGGGCGAAAGCCUGACGGAGCAACGCCGCGUGGGUGAUGAAGGUCUUCGGAUCGUAAAACUCUGUUGUUAGGAAAGAACAUAUGUGUAAGAAACUGUGCACAUCUUGACGGUACCUAAACAGAAAGCCACGGCUAACUACGUG
This 497-nucleotide ribosomal RNA is filed under the name uncultured bacterium. Its description in RNAcentral is "partial 16S ribosomal RNA". It matches the Rfam family "Bacterial small subunit ribosomal RNA", at positions 28 to 507 of the family's 1533-position model. The record is from RNAcentral.